AUUGAACGCUGGCGGCAUGCCUUACACAUGCAAGUCGAACGGUAACAGGUCUUCGGAUGCUGACGAGUGGCGAACGGGUGAGUAAUACAUCGGAACGUGCCUAGUAGUGGGGGAUAACUACUCGAAAGAGUAGCUAAUACCGCAUGAGAUCUACGGAUGAAAGCAGGGGAUCGCAAGACCUUGUGCUACUAGAGCGGCCGGUGGCAGAUUAGGUAGUUGGUGGGAUAAAAGCUUACCAAGCCGACGAUCUGUAGCGGGUGUGAGAGGACGAUCAGCCACACUGGGACUGAGAAACGGCCCAGACUCCUACGGGAGGCAGCAGUGGGGAAUUUUGGACAAUGGGCGCAAGCCUGAUCCAGCAAUGCCGCGUGCAGGAUGAAGGCCUUCGGGUUGUAAACUGCUUUUGUACGGAACGAAAAGCCCCGGGUUAAUACCCUGGGGUCAUGACGGUACCGUAAGAAUAAGCACCGGCUAACUACGUGCCAGCCGCCGCCGUAA
RNAcentral lists this ribosomal RNA (498 nucleotides) under uncultured bacterium. RNAcentral's name for it is "partial 16S ribosomal RNA". It matches the Rfam family "Bacterial small subunit ribosomal RNA", at positions 30 to 523 of the family's 1533-position model. The record is from RNAcentral.